This 253-nucleotide ribosomal RNA is filed under the name uncultured bacterium. Its description in RNAcentral is "partial 16S ribosomal RNA". It matches the Rfam family "Bacterial small subunit ribosomal RNA", at positions 524 to 776 of the family's 1533-position model. The record is from RNAcentral.
UACGUAGGUGGCAAGCGUUGUCCGGAUUUACUGGGCGUAAAGAGCGCGCAGGCGGUCGUUCAAGUCGCGUGUGAAAGCCCCCGGCUCAACUGGGGAGGGUCACGCGAUACUGAUCGACUCGAAGGCAGGAGAGGGUAGUGGAAUUCCCGGUGUAGUGGUGAAAUGCGUAGAUAUCAGGAGGAAUACCGGUGGCGAAAGCGACUCUCUGGACGGCAACUGACGCUGAGGCACGAAAGCGUGGGGAGCAAACAGG